UGCAGGUGUGAAAUGUGACAACACUGAGAGUCUAAAGACGCAAUUACACCUUAUGUAUGCAUAUAAACCCCAAAGACACCUCACACAAUAAGCCACCAGCAUUUAGGUGUGUUGCCACCACUGACUGACGGCUAUGGUACACCGCUCGUCUCUCAACAUCUUAUCCCUCAAAAUGUGGCGCGCCUUCCUGCUGGUAUUAGUUGUGUUAGUGGUGAUGACUGCUAUCGUUAACGCUUACCCGCGCAGACACGGCGGAAGCGGUGGCGGCCUAGGCGGUGGCGGCAGCCUAGGCUGUGGCGGGGAAGGGUUCGGCAAAUAAUACGACCACCACCACUCCUGACGACCACUGUACCACCACCACCACCACCACCACGGACGACCCCUGCCGUCUUCCCUCCCUUCUCUGCUUCCUUCUGUCCUUGAACCACACUAUUAAACUUUAGAAAUAUUGGCAUUAGCUUUGUAUCUCUAAUUUAGCUAAGGAAACCUCUCUCUCUCUCUCUCUCUCUCUCUCUCUCUGAUUGACU
Long non-coding RNA from Portunus trituberculatus (swimming crab), 527 nucleotides. RefSeq lists it as uncharacterized. The transcript is spliced from 3 exons. Lineage: Eukaryota; Metazoa; Arthropoda; Malacostraca; Decapoda; Portunidae. The record is from RefSeq and is a predicted model, not a curated record.